CUCUGUUCCAGAUAAAAAAAAAAACAAAAAAAAUCCUCUUUACUCCUAAACCCAGAACCCCAAAGCACUAGCUAGGAAUCAGGAUGUUGCAGAUGAAAUUGCAGUUCUUCCCUCCAUCCUUCUCAAAUACAACUGCUCUUUCUCCUUAUAAUUCUCCAAUCCUUUCUUCACCCUCCUUCGCAUCACCGUCCUCCUUCCACUAUUCCCAGUGGCCAUUAAAGCAACCCAGGAAAAAGCAGCAAUUGUUGGUGUUGUGUACUAACUCUGAGGUGGGUGGGGGUUAUUUGGAUGGGGAAUUGGGUGUACAAGACAAAAGAAGUAGAACCCAAGAAGAAUGGAAUGAGAAAUUGGACUCUUCCCAGUAUGAAGCUGUGCUCAAAGGGGGAGAACAGGUCACUUCUGUCCUCCAAGAAAUGAUUACCCUUUUGGAGGAUAUGAACAUGGAUGAAGCAUCUGAGAAGGUGGCAGUAGAAUUGGCUGCACAAGGUGUCAUUGGGAAAAGAGUUGAUGAGAUGGAAUCAGGGUUUAUGAUGGCUCUAGAUUACAUGAUUCAAGUUGCUGAAAAGGACCAAGAUGAUAAGCGCAAGUCACUAUUGGAAGUUGUCAAGGAAACUGUAUUAUCCCAUCUAACCAAAAAAUGCCCAACACAUGUUCAAGUGAUUGGCUUGCUUUGCAGAACUCCUGAGAAAGAAAGCAGGCAUGAACUACUACGUAGAGUGGCUGCUGGUGGUGGUGUCUUUGAAAGUAAGAAUGGAACCAAAGUUCAUAUUCCAGCAGCAAAUCUAAAUGAUAUAGCAAACCAGGCAGAUGAUUUGUUGGAGACAAUGGAAACUCGGCCAGUUGUUCCAGAUCGAAAACUACUUGCAAGGCUUGUUUUAAUCAGAGAGGAAGCUAGAAAUAUGAUGGGAGGUGGAAUACUGGAUGAAAGAAAUGACCGUGGUUUCAGAACACUUCCCGAAUCUGAGGUUAACUUCUUAACCAAACUGGUAGCUUUGAAACCUGGGAAGACUGUACUGGAAAUGAUAAAAAAUGUAAUGCUAGGGAAAGAUGAAGGUGCUGAUAAUGCAGCUACUGAGGAUGACACUACGAACGGAAAUAUUUCAAGUGGAAUUGCAGGAAGGCCAAGUGUAACAGGACGAAAACCACUCCCUGUUCGCCCUGGCAUGUUUCUGGAGACUGUCACCAAGGUCUUAGGUGGUAUAUAUUCCGGAAAUGUGUCUGGCAUUACAGCACAACAUCUAGAAUGGGUUCAUCAGAAGACUCUUCAAGUUCUUCAGGAAAUAGCAUUCUAGCCUUGUGGAAGUGACAGAUACUUCAUCACACUAUAUAGUAAAAGCCCAAUUUUGCCCAUAACAUGCUGUUGGAGGAAGGUUAAGCCUAGAUUAUAAUUCUGCCUUGUUGUAAAAUGUCUUUUAGCUAUGAACCUCCAAGAAACUAGUAAUUGUUGUAUCUGUAUACCUGCAAUUGAAAAAAAAAAAAAAAAAAACUCUCUACACUUUCACAAUGGAACAAUCACUGCAGUUCAAACCAUGCUUAAGUUAGUGAUUCUUGAUGGGAAAACUUGGCGGCCUCUCAUGCCUUGGAAAAUUACCAGUGGAAAGUGCAGCCUGCUUUGGCAAAUUUCUUAUGCGACAAAUGUGGUGUCUCAAAUUGGUGGCAGCAAACAAAAAAAGCUCAGACAAUAACAAGCUUAAAGAUUUACGGUUUAGUCUCUUUCUGUCGCCCCACUUUGCACUAGCAAAUGCUGUCUUCCCAUGCUCUACCUUCUUGGUGUUCUCCAUUUGCUCUCUUUUGAUCAACCAAUAAAAAAGAAUUGUUGAAUUAGCCACAUGAGCCGUCUUUUCAAAUUUGUUGCCUUUACCUAAUGGUGAGAUCAAGCUAAUCACUUGCUUUAAAGAUACGAGUUUGAAAUAUGGCAAAUAUUUUGUUUCACUAUUUUUAUUGUUAAUUUUUGUUAGCAGCCAACUUUGUGAAGUGGAGUUGACCUUUCUUUUCAAAAUUGCAUAUGAAUUUGGUUGAGUUGUCUUUUUAAUUUUUCAUUGCACGCAGCCGAUCUUCUUGUUGGUCCACCAUGAAAUAAUGUGUGCAUAUUAUUCCCACUUCCUUAGAGAUGAAAUGAAUGUGAGCUUUCCGUGUUCUUUUUUCAAGUUAGAAAUUUGCUUUAAAACUUGCCAUUGCUUUGAUAUAUUACAAAUUGCUAAUAGAAGGGCCUGUUAUUGUUUAAAUUUAUUCAUUGCAAGGUAGACACCUCCCAUGAAUUUGAAAAUUUGGUUUAUUUUUCAUUAUUUCACUUGCAACUUUUCCAAUUGUACAGCGACUAAGUUAAUCUCAAACUAGUUGUGAUGAACUAUAUGAAUCAUUUUUCGCCAUU
RNA transcript from Hevea brasiliensis (rubber tree), 2371 nucleotides. It is a transcript of the gene named protein PEP-RELATED DEVELOPMENT ARRESTED 1, chloroplastic, with no coding region annotated. Lineage: Eukaryota; Viridiplantae; Streptophyta; Magnoliopsida; Malpighiales; Euphorbiaceae. The transcript has 10 exons. The record is from RefSeq and is a predicted model, not a curated record.